This 484-nucleotide ribosomal RNA is filed under the name uncultured bacterium. RNAcentral's name for it is "partial 16S ribosomal RNA". It matches the Rfam family "Bacterial small subunit ribosomal RNA", at positions 28 to 523 of the family's 1533-position model. The record is from RNAcentral.
GACGAACGCUGGUGGCGUGCUUAACACAUGCAAGUCGAACGAUGAAGCCGGAGCUUGCUCUGGUGAAUUAGUGGCGAACGGGUGAGUGACACGUGAGUAACCUGCCCUUGACUCUGGGAUAACUGCUAGAAAUGGUAGCUAAUACCGGAUACGACCCUCGGAGGCAUCUCCAGGGGGUGGAAAGAAUUUCGGUCAAGGAUGGACUCGCGGCCUAUCAGCUAGUUGGGGAGGUAACGGCUCACCAAGGCGACGACGGGUAGCCGGCCUGAGAGGGUGACCGGCCACACUGGGACUGAGACACGGCCCAGACUCCUACGGGAGGCAGCAGUGGGGAAUAUUGCACAAUGGGCGCAAGCCUGAUGCAGCAACGCCGCGUGAGGGAUGACGGCCUUCGGGUUGUAAACCUCUUUUAGUAGGGAAGAAGCGAAAGUGACGGUACCUGCAGAAAAAGCACCGGCUAACUACGUGCCAGCCGCCGCGGUAA